RNAcentral lists this long non-coding RNA (1506 nucleotides) under Macaca fascicularis (crab-eating macaque). RNAcentral's name for it is "lncRNA (ENSMFAG00000051004.1)". Lineage: Eukaryota; Metazoa; Chordata; Mammalia; Primates; Cercopithecidae. The record is from RNAcentral.
UUUUUUUUUUUUUUUUUUUGAGACGGAGUCUUGCUCAGUCGCCCAGGCUGGAGUGCAGUGGCUGGAUCUCAGCUCACUGCAAGCUCCGCCUCCCGGGUUUACGCCAAUCUCCUGCCUCAGCCUCCCGAGUAGCUGGGACUACAGGCGCCUGCCACCUCAUCCAGCUAGUUUUUUGUAUUUUUUAGUAGAGACAGGGUUUCAUCGUGUUAGCCAGGAUGGUCUCGAUCUCCCGACCUCGUGAUCCGCCGGUCUCAGCCUCCCAAAGUGCUGGGAUUACAGGCUUGAGCCACCGCGCCCGGCCCCAAGAUCAUUAGGAUUACAGGCUUGAGCCACCGCGCCCGGCCCCAAGAUCCUUUCUUAUAGAAAAUCUCUUUCUUUAUAAUCUUUGUAUAGCUAGGAAGCAUGGCUAAUUCCACAUGUCCCCAGGCCUAUCUAGAACCUAAUAGCUUUAAGGUAGGUAAAUUGAACAAGUUUUUAAAGUUAAAGAAGCAGUUUAUGACCUUAAAGCAUUUAGCAAACUUAAUAUCUGACCUGCAUAAUUUAGACUAAAUGUUUUUAUCAAUAAUUUUUAAAGCUGUUUUUAUUUCCCAAAGAUUACUAAAGUUACAUGAACUAAAAGGCAUUGCAGUUUUCAUUUUGCCUUCAAAAUAUUUAAGUGCGUAUUUUUGUUUAAGCCAAUUAAUUAGAGCUCUUUUAUAUAAACAUUACACAGAACACAUAUAUAGCUACAUGGAAAGACAGAAGAAGAUUACUGCAGUAGUUGUAAGAUUUUUCAUUUGCCAGUUUUUAAGUUUCUUAAUUGGAUGACUGGCUUUCUGGGGGAGCCCUUGGAAGAACAGGGCCAGGAAAGGGGUCUCUGGUGCCUCUUGUUUUUCUCAAGGAGUCCAGGCUGUUAGAGCUUGAAUAUCCACUUUUAAUUAAACUGGUUUUAACCAUAGUACUCUUUAAUAAAGUCCUUUUAGAAUUUCUUAUGCCAAACAGCCAAUAUUUCUGGCCUUUGAACUUUACCGAAGGUAACCUCCCAGGGGCUUAGAAAAAGGAAAAUUUAAGACAGUCCACAGAGGAGGAGAAAAUAGACAAGGCCACGCAGGUAUUGAACCAGAAAGGACUUACUUCCUAGGUGGGGAAUUGAACCAGGACCGUGACUGUGAAAGUGCAAAACCUUAGCUACUGAGCUCUAGCACGGGGCAGCCUCCAUUUCCCUUCCCAGAAGGAGUCUAGAAUAGUUAAUUUUGAACUUGCAAAGGCUUUUUAUUUAAUAUGAUUUUGAGAGCUAACUAUGGCAUGAACCCUAAAAUUCCUUUUCCUUGGAAGGCGGAGACCAAAAGUACUGCCAUGUGGUUACAAGGUCAAGCUCCCAAGGACAUAAAACAAGGUGGAGACUUCAUCCAGUUUUUUGUUUGUUUCAGGGACCUGCAGCCAAGUUUGUUACUGACCAGCUUGCGGGGCUGUCUUGAAAAGUGGGCUUACCCGUGUUUUAAGGUCAUGUUUUAUCCAUGAAGUACC